Molecule: ribosomal RNA, 253 nt
Filed under: uncultured bacterium
Lineage: Bacteria
Description: partial 16S ribosomal RNA
Rfam family: Bacterial small subunit ribosomal RNA
Source: RNAcentral
UACGAAGGGGGCUAGCGUUGUUCGGAAUUACUGGGCGUAAAGGGCGCGCAGGCGGCUCUUCAAGUCAGAUGUGAAAGCCCCGGGCUCAACCUGGGAACUGCAUUUGAGACUGGAGAGCUUGAGUUCGGGAGAGGAUGGUGGAAUUCCCAGUGUAGAGGUGAAAUGCGUAGAGAUCCGGAGGAACACCAGAGGCGAAGGCGGCACCCUGGCCUAAUACUGACACUGAGACGCGAAAGCAUGGGGAGCGAACGGG